AACGAACGCUGGCGGCAUGCCUAACACAUGCAAGUCGAACGAGAUCUUCGGGUCUAGUGGCGCACGGAUGCGUAACGUGUGGGAAUCUGCCCUUUGGUUCGGAAUAACAGUUGGAAACGACUGCUAAUACCGGAUGAUGACGAAAGUCCAAAGAUUCAUCGCCAGAGGAUGAGCCCGCGUAGGAUUAGCUAGUUGGUGUGGUAAAGGCGCACCAAGGCGACGAUCCUUAGCUGGUCUGAGAGGAUGAUCAGCCACACUGGGACUGAGACACGGCCCAGACUCCUACGGGAGGCAGCAGUGGGGAAUAUUGGACAAUGGGCGAAAGCCUGAUCCAGCAAUGCCGCGUGAGUGAUGAAGGCCUUAGGGUUGUAAAGCUCUUUUACCCGGGAUGAUAAUGACAGUACCGGGAGAAUAAGCUCCGGCUAACUCCGUGCCAGCCGCCGCAGUAA
RNAcentral lists this ribosomal RNA (449 nucleotides) under uncultured bacterium. RNAcentral's name for it is "partial 16S ribosomal RNA". It matches the Rfam family "Bacterial small subunit ribosomal RNA", at positions 29 to 523 of the family's 1533-position model. The record is from RNAcentral.